UACGGAGGGUGCAAGCAUUAAUCGGAUUUAUUGGGCGUAAAGGGCGCGUAGGCGGAGAUGUAAGUCAGAUGUGAAAUCCUGGGGCUCAACCUCAGAACUGCAUUUGAAACUGCAUCCCUAGAGGGUAGGAGGAGAAAACGGAAUUCCACAAGUAGCGUUGAAAUGCGUAUAUAUGUGGAAGAACACCGGUGGCGAAGGCGGUUUUCUAUCUUAUUCCUGACGCUGAUGCGCGAAAGCAAGGGGAUCAAACAGG
RNAcentral lists this ribosomal RNA (253 nucleotides) under uncultured bacterium. RNAcentral describes it as "partial 16S ribosomal RNA". It matches the Rfam family "Bacterial small subunit ribosomal RNA", at positions 524 to 776 of the family's 1533-position model. The record is from RNAcentral.